This 450-nucleotide ribosomal RNA is filed under the name uncultured Glomus. RNAcentral describes it as "SSU rRNA". It matches the Rfam family "Eukaryotic small subunit ribosomal RNA", at positions 569 to 1024 of the family's 1831-position model. The record is from RNAcentral. Lineage: Eukaryota; Fungi; Glomeromycota; Glomeromycetes; Glomerales; Glomeraceae.
AGCAGCCGCGGUAAUUCCAGCUCCAAUAGCGUAUAUUAAAGUUGUUGCAGUUAAAAAGCUCGUAGUUGAAUUUCGAGAUCAGUACGCUGGUCGUGCCUUCGGUAUGCACUGGUGUCACUGGUUUCUCCCUUCUGAAGAACCGUCAUGCCAUUCAGUUGGUGUGGCGGGGAAUCAGGACUGUUACUUUGAAAAAUUAGAGUGUUUAAAGCAGGCUCGCGUUUGAAUACAUUAGCAUGGAAUAAUGAAAUAGGACGUUUGACCCUAUUUUGUUGGUUUCUAGGAUCGACGUAAUGAUUAAUAGGGAUAGUUGGGGGCAUUAGUAUUCAAUUGUCAGAGGUGAAAUUCUUGGAUUUAUUGAAGACUAACUACUGCGAAAGCAUUUGCCAAGGAUGUUUUCAUUAAUCAAGAACGAAAGUUAGGGGAUCGAAGACGAUCAGAUACCGUCGUAGU